This 577-nucleotide ribosomal RNA is filed under the name Klebsiella pneumoniae IS33. RNAcentral's name for it is "LSU rRNA". It matches the Rfam family "Bacterial large subunit ribosomal RNA", at positions 2374 to 2925 of the family's 2925-position model. Lineage: Bacteria; Pseudomonadati; Pseudomonadota; Gammaproteobacteria; Enterobacterales; Enterobacteriaceae. The record is from RNAcentral.
UGCGAGCGUGACGGCGCGAGCAGGUGCGAAAGCAGGUCAUAGUGAUCCGGUGGUUCUGAAUGGAAGGGCCAUCGCUCAACGGAUAAAAGGUACUCCGGGGAUAACAGGCUGAUACCGCCCAAGAGUUCAUAUCGACGGCGGUGUUUGGCACCUCGAUGUCGGCUCAUCACAUCCUGGGGCUGAAGUAGGUCCCAAGGGUAUGGCUGUUCGCCAUUUAAAGUGGUACGCGAGCUGGGUUUAGAACGUCGUGAGACAGUUCGGUCCCUAUCUGCCGUGGGCGCUGGAGAAUUGAGGGGGGCUGCUCCUAGUACGAGAGGACCGGAGUGGACGCAUCACUGGUGUUCGGGUUGUCAUGCCAAUGGCACUGCCCGGUAGCUAAAUGCGGAAGAGAUAAGUGCUGAAAGCAUCUAAGCACGAAACUUGCCCCGAGAUGAGUUCUCCCUGAGACUAUAAGUCUCCUGAAGGAACGUUGAAGACGACGACGUUGAUAGGCCGGGUGUGUAAGCGCAGCGAUGCGUUGAGCUAACCGGUACUAAUGAACCGUGAGGCUUAACCUUACAACGCCGAAGAUGUUUUG